CUUUAAUCAGAAAAGGUGUAAUAGGGGUGGGGGGAACUAAAAGCCAGAUUAUGUCCCUAAAUAUUUUAGAUUCAACCACUUUUAUAAACCCGCUUUUCACUUUCAGGGAACUGCAAACAUGAUCCUCUGCUAAGCACUGGUGGAAGAGGAGACAUCCUAAAGAGAGAAUAGAAUAGUGUGCCCUUUCCUUCAGCUGUUACACUAUGCUUUGUGUAAUUAGGGACACUGGUCACUAUGCAUUGCUCCAAAGAAGAGGAGAGAAUUUCCACUCUUCACCUGCUAGGGGAAGAGGGCUGUGGACAAGAACUCAGGCCCAUGAAGGCAGCCAGUUGUUUCCAAUGAAGUCCUGGGCAAGUACAAAGAACGACCUACAGGGAAAAGCCAAUGUUUGCCGUGUAAAUGAUAGAAGCAGUCACUUGAAUCAAAGGUGCACUGAUAGCAUCACAACAGUGCAGCUUGAGUGCUCUGAAGGUUGGCGAGAACAUCACUGUCUCCAAACAAAGUGUGGUGCUGGAUUCACUUCAUGCACAGCCUACUACCAUACGUAA
This 548-nucleotide long non-coding RNA is filed under the name Mus spicilegus (steppe mouse). RNAcentral describes it as "lncRNA (ENSMSIG00000025663.1)". Lineage: Eukaryota; Metazoa; Chordata; Mammalia; Rodentia; Muridae. The record is from RNAcentral.